This 240-nucleotide long non-coding RNA is filed under the name Elaeis guineensis (African oil palm). RNAcentral's name for it is "long non-coding RNA (EGUI_LNC050447)". Lineage: Eukaryota; Viridiplantae; Streptophyta; Magnoliopsida; Arecales; Arecaceae. The record is from RNAcentral.
GCUCUCAAAUUGGUACCCCACUAAAUCCAAAUCAAAAUGGAUCUAGUUAAGGUUCAAGGCUAUAGACUUGAUCUAAUCUUUAUCUAAUAAGGAAUCUAAGUCUAGAGAAGAAUUGGGUUUAAUCAUGUGCUAGCAUAGUUCUCUUAAACCCAAUAAAAUUUUACUAAAUCCUAAUCUAAUUAGAACUUCAUAAGUCUAAUUGAUUAAUUCAAGAUUAAAUCCCUCAAUUUGUGACCCCAU